This 449-nucleotide ribosomal RNA is filed under the name uncultured bacterium. RNAcentral's name for it is "partial 16S ribosomal RNA". It matches the Rfam family "Bacterial small subunit ribosomal RNA", at positions 29 to 523 of the family's 1533-position model. The record is from RNAcentral.
AGCGAACGCUGGCGGAAUGCUUAACACAUGCAAGUCGCACGCCCUGCAAGGGGAGUGGCGGACGGGUGAGUAACGCGUAGGAAUAUGUCCAGAGGAGGGGGACAACCCUGGGAAACUGGGGCUAAUACCGCAUAUGGGCUGAGGCCCAAAGCAGUGAUGCGCCUUUGGAGUAGCCUGCGUCCGAUUAGCUUGUUGGUGGGGUAAAGGCUUACCAAGGCGACGAUCGGUAGCUGGUCUGAGAGGACGACCAGCCACACUGGGACUGAGACACGGCCCAGACUCCUACGGGAGGCGGCAGUGGGGAAUAUUGGACAAUGGGCGCAAGCCUGAUCCAGCAAUUCCGCGUGGGUGAAGAAGGUCUUCGGAUUGUAAAGCCCUUUCGACGGGGACGAUGAUGACGGUACCCGUAGAAGAAGCCCCGGCUAACUUCGUGCCAGCCGCCGCGGUAA